This 878-nucleotide ribosomal RNA is filed under the name uncultured bacterium. RNAcentral's name for it is "bacterial SSU rRNA". It matches the Rfam family "Bacterial small subunit ribosomal RNA", at positions 146 to 984 of the family's 1533-position model. The record is from RNAcentral.
ACUCCGGGAAACCGGGGGCUAAUACCGCAUACGACCUUCGGGUGAAAGCCGGGGACCCCUUCGGGGGCCUGGCGCUGGUGGAUGGGCCCGCGUCCGAUUAGCUAGUUGGUGAGGUAAAGGCUCACCAAGGCUCCGAUCGGUAGCUGGUUUGAGAGGAUGAUCAGCCACACUGGGACUGAGACACGGCCCGAGACUCCUACGGGAGGCAGCAGUGGGGAAUUUUGCACAAUGGGCGAAAAGCCUGAUGCAGCGACGCCGCGUGCGGGAAGAAGGCCUUCGGGUUGUAAACCGCUUUCAACAGGGAAGAAGGAAUGAGGGUUAAUACCCCUCUGCCUUGACGGUACCUGUAGAAGAAGCACCGGCUAAUUUCGUGCCAGCAGCCGCGGUAAUACGAAAGGUGCAAGCGUUGUUCGGAUUUACUGGGCGCAAAGCGCGCGUAGGCGGCUGAUCAAGUCGGAUGUGAAAUCCCGGGGCUCAACCCCGGAACUGCAUUCGAAACUGGUCGGCUAGAGUUCGAGAGGGGGAUGCGGAAUUCCGAGUGUAGCAGUGAAAUGCGUAGAUAUUCGGAGGAACACCUGAGGCGAAGGCGGCAUCCUGGAUCGACACUGACCGCUGAGGUGCGGAAAGCCGUGGGGUAGGCAAACAAGGAUUAGAUACCCUGGUAAGUCCACGCCCCUAAAACGGAUGUCUACUAGCCGUUGCGGGGUAUCGACCCCCUGCAGUGGGCAAAAGCUAACGCGAUAAGUAGACCCGCCCUGGGGGAGUACGGGCCGCAAGGGCUAAAAACUCAAAAGGAAAUUGAACGGGGGGCCCCGCACAAGCGGGUGGAGCAUGUGGUUUAAUUUCGACGCAACGCGAAAAACCUUACCUGGGGUUUU